This 253-nucleotide ribosomal RNA is filed under the name uncultured bacterium. Its description in RNAcentral is "partial 16S ribosomal RNA". It matches the Rfam family "Bacterial small subunit ribosomal RNA", at positions 524 to 776 of the family's 1533-position model. The record is from RNAcentral.
UACGAAGGGGGCUAGCGUUGCUCGGAAUCACUGGGCGUAAAGCGCACGUAGGCGGAUUGCUAAGUCAGGGGUGAAAUCCUGGAGCUCAACUCCAGAACUGCCUUUGAUACUGGCGAUCUCGAGUCCGGGAGAGGUGAGUGGAACUGCGAGUGUAGAGGUGAAAUUCGUAGAUAUUCGCAAGAACACCAGUGGCGAAGGCGGCUCUCUGGACCGAGACUGACGCUGAGGCGCGAAAGCGUGGGGAGCAAACAGG